This 468-nucleotide ribosomal RNA is filed under the name uncultured bacterium. RNAcentral describes it as "partial 16S ribosomal RNA". It matches the Rfam family "Bacterial small subunit ribosomal RNA", at positions 28 to 507 of the family's 1533-position model. The record is from RNAcentral.
GACGAACGCUGGCGGCGUGCUUAACACAUGCCAGUCGAACGGAAAGGCCCUGCUUUUGUGGGGUGCUCGAGUGGCGAACGGGUGAGUAACACGUGAGUAACCUGCCCUUGACUUUGGGAUAACUUCAGGAAACUGGGGCUAAUACCGGAUAGGAGCUCCUGCUGCAUGGUGGGGGUUGGAAAGUUUCGGCGGUUGGGGAUGGACUCGCGGCUUAUCAGCUUGUUGGUGGGGUAGUGGCUUACCAAGGCUUUGACGGGUAGCCGGCCUGGGAGGGUGACCGGCCACAUUGGGACUGAGAUACGGCCCAGACUCCUACGGGAGGGAGCAGUGGGGAAUAUUGCACAAUGGGCGGAAGCCUGAUGCAGCAACGCCGCGUGCGGGAUGACGGCCUUCGGGUUGUAAACCGCUUUCGCCUGUGACGAAGCGUGAGUGACGGUAAUGGGUAAAGAAGCACCGGCUAACUACGUG